CCGCCGGCGGACGACAUAUUACCCGUGUCAAGAGAAAGGAAGGGGAGAGAGAGGAAGACCGUAGCGCAACUGCAGGGAGAGGCAGGCGGGAUUG
Molecule: long non-coding RNA, 94 nt
Organism: Neltuma alba
Lineage: Eukaryota; Viridiplantae; Streptophyta; Magnoliopsida; Fabales; Fabaceae
Exons: 3
Source: RefSeq, a predicted model, not a curated record